UAUUUCCACUCGAAACAAAAUUAUGUUAAAAUGUUCGUGAGCUUCGAAACAAACAACGUGAAACCUCCAGCCGCCCUCAAACGCGAACAACAUCAAAAGUCUGAACAACAAAAAGCUAGAGGCCGAUCCGGCUUUGCAGUUAGACGAAUUAUUGAUUUUCGAAAAGCUUCAACUUAUAGACAAUCUCUUGAAAAAGCAAUAGAUUCCCCUACAACUCGUGUGCGGAAAGCAAAAUUGUUCAAAGUCCUUCAGAAAUCCUAUGGAGUUAGAACAAUUUUGAUUUCCGCAGACGAACUGUUAUCAAAAGAUCGCAUUACAACUCACUUCCUUGCAUUCGAGAUUGAAUAAAAUUCUUCUAAUCAGCGCCAAAUAUUCACAACAUCAUUGAAGCAAAUCGUGAUUCAAUUUCGUGGAGGGUGCAGAGUUCCAUUUCAUUUACCUUUCUGUACUCCAAUUGGAACGACAAGUAAAGUACUACAAGGCAACCAAAGAUUGGCGAUCAGUAAAUUGGACAACGUAGGAUCUUUCUUCAUUUACUAUUCUUAUUGGAAUGUAAGGUGUUUGUUCGAUCGGCCGAUCCAAUGUUCCAACUAUGUGGCCAAAGCCAAAACCGUUUAAACACAAAACGAUCAGACAAGCUUUCUAAAUUAAAUCAAAUAUUUUUGAAAUUUCUAAUUAAAUGAUAAUUUCACUUUUUAUAAAUACAAAAUAACAUGUCAAUGCUACAAAUACAGCUAUA
Long non-coding RNA from Episyrphus balteatus (marmalade hoverfly), 739 nucleotides. RefSeq lists it as uncharacterized. Lineage: Eukaryota; Metazoa; Arthropoda; Insecta; Diptera; Syrphidae. The transcript has 3 exons. The record is from RefSeq and is a predicted model, not a curated record.